GGGAAUGUGGCUUAGUGGUAGAGUGCUUGCUUUGCAUGCAUGAGGCCGUGGGUUCGAUUCCUCAGCACCA
This 70-nucleotide transfer RNA is filed under the name Dipodomys ordii (Ord's kangaroo rat). It matches the Rfam family "tRNA". Rfam says of the family: Transfer RNA (tRNA) molecules are approximately 80 nucleotides in length. Their secondary structure includes four short double-helical elements and three loops (D, anti-codon, and T loops). Further hydrogen bonds mediate the characteristic L-shaped molecular structure. tRNAs have two regions of fundamental functional importance: the anti-codon, which is responsible for specific mRNA codon recognition, and the 3' end, to which the tRNAs corresponding amino acid is attached (by aminoacyl-tRNA synthetases). tRNAs cope with the degeneracy of the genetic code in two manners: having more than one tRNA (with a specific anti-codon) for a particular amino acid; and 'wobble' base-pairing, i.e. permitting non-standard base-pairing at the 3rd anti-codon position. Lineage: Eukaryota; Metazoa; Chordata; Mammalia; Rodentia; Heteromyidae. The record is from Rfam by way of RNAcentral.